Molecule: ribosomal RNA, 429 nt
Filed under: Bacteroidota bacterium
Lineage: Bacteria; Pseudomonadati; Bacteroidota
Description: Bacteroidetes bacterium partial 16S ribosomal RNA
Rfam family: Bacterial small subunit ribosomal RNA
Source: RNAcentral
UAGGGAAUCUUCCGCAAUGGACGCAAGUCUGACGGAGCAACGCCGCGUGAGUGAAGAAGGAUUUCGGUUCGUAAAACUCUGUUGUUAGAGAAGAACAGCGCAUAGAGUAACUGUUAUGCGUGUGACGGUAUCUAACCAGAAAGCCACGGCUAACUACGUGCCAGCAGCCGCGGUAAUACGUAGGUGGCAAGCGUUGUCCGGAUUUAUUGGGCGUAAAGCGAGCGCAGGCGGUCAAUUAAGUCUGAUGUGAAAGCCCCCGGCUCAACCGGGGAGGGUCAUUGGAAACUGUUUAACUUGAGUGCAGAAGGGGAGAGUGGAAUUCCAUGUGUAGCGGUGAAAUGCGUAGAUAUAUGGAGGAACACCGGUGGCGAAGGCGACUCUCUGGUCUGUAACUGACGCUGAGGCUCGAAAGCGUGGGUAGCAAACAGG